Molecule: long non-coding RNA, 474 nt
Organism: Pogonomyrmex barbatus (red harvester ant)
Lineage: Eukaryota; Metazoa; Arthropoda; Insecta; Hymenoptera; Formicidae
Source: RefSeq, a predicted model, not a curated record
UAGCAGCUUAUGCGUUCUAUGCGAUUGUGUAAUUGCAUAUGGCGGUUGUUGACAUUGUGAAAAGUUUUGAAUUCUAAUUUUACAUAAAAAUGUCAGUGUGAAGAUAUGGAAGAGACAUUAUUAGAGUUCCCAGUCUUAAAGAAACGCAGAGCGUCAUCACAUUAUUUCUUACUCAGGAAAUAAUUAAUAAAGUUCAAACAGAUCAAAAGUUGCUGCAAUCGCUUGUAAAUAGAGAAAUCAGUAAGCAGAAUAAUUCUAUUGACUUCUCAAGUUCUUUAGAAAUUAGUCAGCCUUCAUCAGCAUUGUCUGAAAAUGUUGAUUCCGAAGAAAAUGAUUGUUCGACGAAUACAAAAGGAUUUGUAUGGUCUGAUGCUGCAGUAUAUUUACUAUUAGAAUUGUAUCGGGAGAAAGAAUCCGACUUCAAUUCGGGAUCUAAAAGAAAUGCUACUAUUUGGGCUGAAUUAGCAGAAAAAA